Molecule: ribosomal RNA, 376 nt
Filed under: uncultured bacterium
Lineage: Bacteria
Description: bacterial SSU rRNA
Rfam family: Bacterial small subunit ribosomal RNA
Source: RNAcentral
UACGGAGGGUGCAAGCGUUGCUCGGAAUCACUGGGCGUAAAGGGCGUGUAGGCGGUUUCGUAUGUCUGGCGUGAAAGCCCCGGGCUCAACCCGGGAAGUGCGUUGGAAACUGCGAAACUAGAGUCUCGGAGAGGAAGGUGGAAUUCCAGGUGUAGCGGUGAAAUGCGUAGAUAUCUGGAAGAACACCGGUGGCGAAGGCGGCCUUCUGGACGAUGACUGACGCUGAGACGCGAAAGCGUGGGGAGCAAACAGGAUUAGAUACCCUGGUAGUCCACGCCAUAAACGAUGGGAACUAGGUGUCGCGGGUAUUGACCCCUGCGGUGCCGCAGCUAACGCAUUAAGUUCCCCGCCUGGGGACUACGGCCGCAAGGUUAAA